CUGCAUAUGUUUGGCCAUCAU
This 21-nucleotide unclassified non-coding RNA is filed under the name Mus musculus (house mouse). RNAcentral describes it as "oocyte_clustered_small_RNA12437". The record is from RNAcentral. Lineage: Eukaryota; Metazoa; Chordata; Mammalia; Rodentia; Muridae.